RNAcentral lists this transfer RNA (70 nucleotides) under Phymaturus excelsus. RNAcentral's name for it is "tRNA-Ala". The record is from RNAcentral. Lineage: Eukaryota; Metazoa; Chordata; Lepidosauria; Squamata. RNAcentral also lists the same sequence under 3 other names.
UGAGGCCUUAGCUUAAUUAAAGUGUCUGAGUUGCAUUCAGGAGAUGCGUAUUAAUGUUUCGCAGGUUUUA